AUUGAACGCUAGCGGGAUGCUUUACACAUGCAAGUCGAACGGCAGCGCGGACUUCGGUCUGGCGGCGAGUGGCGAACGGGUGAGUAAUGUAUCGGAACGUGCCCAGUAGCGGGGGAUAACUACGCGAAAGCGUAGCUAAUACCGCAUACGCCCUACGGGGGAAAGCAGGGGAUCGUAAGACCUUGCACUAUUGGAGCGGCCGAUAUCGGAUUAGCUAGUUGGUGAGGUAACGGCUCACCAAGGCGACGAUCCGUAGCUGGUUUGAGAGGACGACCAGCCACACUGGGACUGAGACACGGCCCAGACUCCUACGGGAGGCAGCAGUGGGGAAUUUUGGACAAUGGGGGCAACUCUGAUCCAGCCAUCCCGCGUGUGCGAUGAAGGCCUUCGGGUUGUAAAGCACUUUUGGCAGGAAAGAAACGUCGCGGGCUAAUACCCCGUGGAACUGACGGUACCUGCAGAAUAAGCACCGGCUAACUACGUG
RNAcentral lists this ribosomal RNA (484 nucleotides) under uncultured bacterium. RNAcentral describes it as "partial 16S ribosomal RNA". It matches the Rfam family "Bacterial small subunit ribosomal RNA", at positions 30 to 507 of the family's 1533-position model. The record is from RNAcentral.